This 281-nucleotide long non-coding RNA is filed under the name Carica papaya (papaya). RNAcentral describes it as "long non-coding RNA (CPAP_LNC000699)". The record is from RNAcentral. Lineage: Eukaryota; Viridiplantae; Streptophyta; Magnoliopsida; Brassicales; Caricaceae.
CUGAUAAUUGUUUUAAGAUAUGUCUAGAACACUAGAACAAUUUUAAAACCCUACACAACCUUUUGGCAAAGCUAUCUUGUAACCUCAUAGGUAUCUUAAAAUAACUCUAGAAGCCAAAAGUUUCCUUAUCCUCAACUACCCUUGAACCUUAGCAUUGUUUAUCCUAAAUUAGCUAAGCAAUCCUAAAGCACCACACAAGGACCCAUGAGUUUUCCAACUUUAUCUUAAUUUAAACGAGUGCGCUUGCACUUACGAGGGGUAGUGCUUGUUUCCAACUGCAU